Molecule: ribosomal RNA, 51 nt
Filed under: uncultured soil eukaryote
Lineage: Eukaryota
Description: partial 28S ribosomal RNA
Source: RNAcentral
UCUGGCCUCAAAUCAGGUAGGACUACCCGCUGAACUUAAGCUUCUUUUGCU